Long non-coding RNA from Cicer arietinum (chickpea), 905 nucleotides. RefSeq lists it as uncharacterized. Lineage: Eukaryota; Viridiplantae; Streptophyta; Magnoliopsida; Fabales; Fabaceae. The record is from RefSeq and is a predicted model, not a curated record.
UUGCAACAAGCUGGAUUUGGUGAAGUGAUCAAACUAGGAAACUACAAGAUCGAUGUCGGUUUGAUUACUGCUAUGGUUGAAAGGUGGAGACCAGAAACUCAUACUUUUCAUCUACCGGUAGGUGAGUGCACAAUAACUUUAGAAGACGUAUACUAUAUUUUAGGAUUAAAUGUGUCUGGUAUUCCUGUUAGCGGUUCAAAUUUUGUGAACAUUAAAGAUGUUUGUCAAGAAUAUUUAGGAGUUAUCCCACCUGAGGGAGCAACAAAAGGUAAUUCUAUUAAAUUAAAAUGGCUCAAAGAUACUUUUGAUAAUGUCGGUGAAAACGCUUGUGAAUUAGAAAAACAAGCAUCAUGUCUAGCCUAUAUAUUACGUAUGAUUGGAGGAUUGUUGAUGCCAGACAAAUCCAAUAAUCGUGUACAUUUAAAAUAUCUUUCACUUUUGGGCGAUUUAAAUAAAGCAUCCCACUAUAGUUGGGGUUCGGCAGUUUUAGCAACACUCUAUAGAGAAUUAUGCAUUGCUACGAAACCCAACGUAAUGUCGAUGGGAGGAUGUGCAUUGUUGUUGCAAAACUGGGCAUGGUAUCGUUGAGUUGUGUUGCUCCAGAUGCACCAAGUGCAUGAAUAUUUCCACUUGCACAAAGAUUUAAUUCCGGGGGUUUAAAUUUCACUAAAGUUCCUCACAACGAUAUAGAAGGAUACCGGAAUACAAUUGAUCAUAUGAUGGUUCAAGAAUUUCGUUGGAGACCGUAUCUCGGAUUUCAACACAAGGUACCCGAACAAGAGAUCAACACUUGGGCUGCAUGUACCUAUCUGCACUGCUAUUGUAACACCCCGUUUUUCAAAGCGAGGGUAUAUUUUUUUUUUUUUCAAAAGUAAUUAAACUAAAACAGAGAAAUAGAUAAAGAA